Molecule: ribosomal RNA, 672 nt
Filed under: Pseudomonas sp. TAN1111
Lineage: Bacteria; Pseudomonadati; Pseudomonadota; Gammaproteobacteria; Pseudomonadales; Pseudomonadaceae
Description: bacterial SSU rRNA
Rfam family: Bacterial small subunit ribosomal RNA
Source: RNAcentral
GCUGGCGGCAGGCCUACACAUGCAAGUCGAGCGGUAGAGAGAAGCUUGCUUCUCUUGAGAGCGGCGGACGGGUGAGUAAUGCCUAGGAAUCUGCCUGGUAGUGGGGGAUAACGUUCGGAAACGGACGCUAAUACCGCAUACGUCCUACGGGAGAAAGCAGGGGACCUUCGGGCCUUGCGCUAUCAGAUGAGCCUAGGUCGGAUUAGCUAGUUGGUGAGGUAAUGGCUCACCAAGGCGACGAUCCGUAACUGGUCUGAGAGGAUGAUCAGUCACACUGGAACUGAGACACGGUCCAGACUCCUACGGGAGGCAGCAGUGGGGAAUAUUGGACAAUGGGCGAAAGCCUGAUCCAGCCAUGCCGCGUGUGUGAAGAAGGUCUUCGGAUUGUAAAGCACUUUAAGUUGGGAGGAAGGGUUGUAGAUUAAUACUCUGCAAUUUUGACGUUACCGACAGAAUAAGCACCGGCUAACUCUGUGCCAGCAGCCGCGGUAAUACAGAGGGUGCAAGCGUUAAUCGGAAUUACUGGGCGUAAAGCGCGCGUAGGUGGUUUGUUAAGUUGGAUGUGAAAUCCCCGGGCUCAACCUGGGAACUGCAUUCAAAACUGACUGACUAGAGUAUGGUAGAGGGUGGUGGAAUUUCCUGUGUAGCGGUGAAAUGCGUAGAUAUAGGAAG